Molecule: ribosomal RNA, 885 nt
Filed under: uncultured archaeon
Lineage: Archaea
Description: bacterial SSU rRNA
Rfam family: Archaeal small subunit ribosomal RNA
Source: RNAcentral
CCCGCCAAUUCCUUUAAGUUUCUCCGGUUGAUCCUGCCAGAGGCCACUGCUAUCGGAGUUCGAUUAAGCCAUGCGAGUCGAGAGGUGCAAGACCUCGGCAUACUGCUCAGUAACACGUGGACAACCUACCCUAUGGAGGGGGAUAACCCCGGGAAACUGGGGAUAAUACCCCAUAGACUAUGGAUGCUGGAAUGCUUUGUAGUUGAAAGGUCCGCCGCCAUAGGAUGGGUCUGCGGCCCGAUUAGGUUGUUGUUGGGGUAACGGCCCAACAAGCCCUGUAAUCGGUACGGGUUGUGGGAGCAAGAGCCCGGAGAUGGAUUCUGAGACACGAAUCCAGGCCCUACGGGGCGCAGCAGGCGCGAAAACUUUACAAUGCGGGAAACCGUGAUAAGGGAACUCCGAGUGCCCGUAAAAUCGGGCUGUCCAUCUGUGUAAAUAACAGGUGAAGAAAGGGCCGGGCAAGACCGGUGCCCGCCGCCGCGGUAAUACCGGCGGCUCGAGUGGUGGCCACUAUUACUGGGCUUAAAGCGUUCGUAGCUGGUCUGUUAAGUCUCUGGGGAAAUCUACUGGCUUAACCAAUAGGCGUCUCAGGGAUACUGGCAGACUAGGGACCGGGAGAGGUGAGAGGUACUCCAGGGGUAGGAGUGAAAUCCUGUAAUCCUAGAAGGACCACCGGUGGCGAAGGCGUCUGACUAGAACGAAUCCGACGGUGAGGGACGAAGCCCUGGGGCGCAAACGGGAUUAGAUACCCCGGUAGUCCAGGGUGUAAACGCUGCGGGCUUGGUGUUGGGGGUCCUUUGAGGGCGCCCAGUGCCGGAGAGAAGUUGUUAAGCCUGCUGCUUGGGGAGUACGUCCGCAAGGAUGAAACUUAAAGGAAUUGGCGGG